UACAAGUUGUGCUAUUUCUGAUCAUUUGCUCAUCAUCUGCAAGCACAGGGUUCGGAUCAACAAACGACACUUUGCCGCAUUUCAGUCGUAGCAGCUUCCCCCAAGGCUUUGUAUUCGGAGCUGCUUCGUCUGCCUAUCAAUCAUGCAAAACUCUCGGCGUUACGUGUCCAUCUUUCUGUGUGGUUAAUUGUUUGGUACGUAGUAUGAAGGCGCUGCGUCUGAAGGUGGGAGAGGACCAAGCAUAUGGGACACUUACACCCACAAAUUUCCAGAUAAAAUAGCUGACCGGAGCAACGCAGACGUGGCUGACAACUUCUAUCAUCUGUAUAAGGUGGGAAGCUAAGUGGGGGAGUGAACAAGGAAGGAAUUGCCUUUUACAACAAUGUCUUCAACGAGC
Molecule: non-coding RNA, 397 nt
Organism: Sesamum indicum (sesame)
Lineage: Eukaryota; Viridiplantae; Streptophyta; Magnoliopsida; Lamiales; Pedaliaceae
Source: RefSeq, a predicted model, not a curated record